Molecule: long non-coding RNA, 692 nt
Organism: Solanum tuberosum (potato)
Lineage: Eukaryota; Viridiplantae; Streptophyta; Magnoliopsida; Solanales; Solanaceae
Exons: 2
Source: RefSeq, a predicted model, not a curated record
AAUCUAUUAGGUUAAGUUGUUGGUCAUUCAAGCAUAAUCCAUGUAUUAAUACACUUAUAACCCUUUAACAAGUUGAUAUUUUUGCAUAAUGCAGUUACUGUCGUAGAUCUUGUUCAUUGAUCAAUUGCUAAUUAUUUUUAUUUCAUCUUGUGCAUGAUCUCUCUCCAUCCGAGUCCAUUUUGGACUCUCCCGUUUGCAUAUCCUCGAGUUUAAGUUCGAUUCUACCUCCUCGAUCCAACAAAGUUGAAAAGUAAGCUGAACUACAGGUGGAAGAGAGGCCGAGAUACGGAAGGUAUACAUGUUGUAUACGUUGAAUUAACAAGAUAUACAAGAAGUAUACAACGAUAUACGAUGGUCGUAUACGCUGUAUACAUCAGCAAAAAUAGGGCCAAAAGCACCAAAAAUUUCCAGCUUUGUAUUUUGUUUAAUUGGGCCGAAACCCAUAUAUUUUAGAAAUUAUUUUGAUAGUUUUAGGACAGGUGGAAGUUGGGCUAAAAGUCCAAAAGAAAGUUAAUUUCUUAUGAUAGUUUAAGACAGGUACAUAUGAGCCAAAGGUCCAAAGCAAAAAUUAGGUCUAAGUACUGGCCCAGGCGAAUAGAAACCAGACUUGGGCCCAAAUCUCCUUCUCUCCUUAUUAUAUAUUUCGUGUUAAUUUUAUUGUUAGUAUAUGCUUAUUUGCUAAUUAAUUUUAA